CUGCCGGUGACAAACCGGAGGAAGGUGGGGAUGACGUCAAGUCCUCAUGGCCCUUAUAGGUGGGGCUACACACGUCAUACAAUGGAUGGUACAAAGGGUCGCCAACCCGCGAGGGGGAGCCAAUCCCAUAAAGCCAUUCGUAGUCCGGAUCGUAGUCUGCAACUCGACUACGUGAAGUCGGAAUCGCUAGUAAUCGUGGAUCAGAAUGUCACGGUGAAUACGUUCCCGGGUCUUGUACACACCGCCCGUCACACCAUGGGAGCGGGUUCUGCCAGAAGUAGUUAGCCUAACCGCAAGGAGGGCGAUUACCACGGCAGGGUUCGUGACUGGGGUGAAGUCGUAACAAGGUA
Molecule: ribosomal RNA, 350 nt
Filed under: uncultured bacterium
Lineage: Bacteria
Description: bacterial SSU rRNA
Rfam family: Bacterial small subunit ribosomal RNA
Source: RNAcentral